Molecule: transfer RNA, 83 nt
Filed under: Schistocephalus solidus
Lineage: Eukaryota; Metazoa; Platyhelminthes; Cestoda; Diphyllobothriidea; Diphyllobothriidae
Rfam family: tRNA
About the family: Transfer RNA (tRNA) molecules are approximately 80 nucleotides in length. Their secondary structure includes four short double-helical elements and three loops (D, anti-codon, and T loops).
Source: Rfam by way of RNAcentral
GGUCUCGUCGUUCAGUUGGCUAGAGCGUUGGCUGUACUAAAGCCUUCCCCUUGCUGGCGUGGGUUCGAAUCCCACCGAGGCCG